UGAGGAAUAUUGGUCAAUGGACGCAAGUCUGAACCAGCCAAGUAGCGUGCAGGAUGACGGCCCUAUGGGUUGUAAACUGCUUUUAUAUGGGGAUAAAGUGGGGAACGUGUUCCCUUUUGCAGGUACCAUAUGAAUAAGGACCGGCUAAUUCCGUGCCAGCAGCCGCGGUAAUACGGAAGGUCCGGGCGUUAUCCGGAUUUAUUGGGUUUAAAGGGAGCGUAGGCCGCGUUUUAAGCGUGUUGUGAAAUGUAGACGCCCAACGUCUGCAUCGCAGCGCGAGCUGGGACGCUUGAGUACGCGCAACGUUGGCGGAAUUCGUCGUGUAGCGGUGAAAUGCUUAGAUAUGACGAGGAACUCCGAUUGCGAAGGCAGCUGACGGGAGCGGCACUGACGCUUAAGCUCGAAGGUGCGGGUAUCAAACAGG
Molecule: ribosomal RNA, 424 nt
Filed under: Verrucomicrobiota bacterium
Lineage: Bacteria; Pseudomonadati; Verrucomicrobiota
Description: Verrucomicrobia bacterium partial 16S ribosomal RNA
Rfam family: Bacterial small subunit ribosomal RNA
Source: RNAcentral